AAAAAGACAAACCAUAAAUUUCCGUGUCCAAUAUUUGACUCUUCGUCUUAUAUUAAACUUUUUUAUAAUUAGUAUUUUCAUUGUUGUUAGAUGAUAAAACAUGAUUAAUACUUUAUGCGUGACUUAUCUUUUUAUUUUUUUUCAUAAUUUUUUCAAAUAAGACGGAUGCAUGGUCAAACGUUGGACACGGAAACCCAGGGUUUGUCUUGUU
This is a non-coding RNA of Oryza barthii, 211 nucleotides long. The record is from Rfam. NCBI's taxonomy places the organism in Eukaryota, Viridiplantae, Streptophyta, Magnoliopsida, Poales, Poaceae.